AUGAGCAGGUGGCUCCAUGCUUCAAAGGCCCUGGAUUCCUGGGAUAUGAUGCCACCUUUCCUGAAGUCUGGGCUCCUUACCUUCUCUCUGCUCUGGGCAUACCAUUCCCAAAGGACAGUGGCAUGGAGGCUGCACCCUGGAGCUCAUGGUUUUCCAGUGGCACCACCUGUGGGAUCAGCUCCCAGACGUGCCAGGAGUGUUUGGGACAGAACCACCAAGAAGGUUCAGACGCGCUCUGCUGCCAGCAUCGCCAUCCUCAUGUUCCAUCGUGGUCGGGUUUAUUGUCAUUUGAGGUGUGGAUCUAGCUUAGCCUACAUGCAGCAUCCUUUUCUGUUGCGCUGAAUCCCCCACCUCUUUUUCUGCCGUCAUUUUAUUCCAUCCUAAGACCUUAGUGGUGACUUCCGUGUUUGCUGAACUGAGCUGUUCCUCCCCAGUCACCUCGGUUCCAAGACUCCUGUCUGUGGGUCUGUGUUCGCUCUACAUUCAAAAACGUUCUGCUGGAAAAUGAGCUGUGCUCCUCAGAGUUCAACUAGACAGGCCUCAAAAGCUGCGAUUCUGAGUAGGACCUACUGGAGCCCCAGGUUUAUGGUAUAGUCAGGUGAAGUAAAGCAGCUCACAUGAAAUAAGCAGCUACACCACAUCUGGGAACAUUUUCAGGGUUUUUUGGUUAUAUUUUAUAAAUACCUACCAUGCUCGCUGAAAAUGCCCUAAGUUCAGCUGCAGUAUAAACAAAACUGGGAGAUUGCUUUCUCUGUGUUUUUCAGUUUAUCUUGAUGACAUUUAAGCUCAGGCUUGGAUUUAACUGUUGAUUCCUCCAUAUAAAAUUGGAACAUUUAGUUUCAACUUCCUAGUGUUUCAGUUGCAAUCUUCAAUUCUUUAUGUUUAAAGCGUUAUCGUGGUUUAUGGUUAUUGUUCCCCUUGUUUUUAAGGUUCUUAUUCUGCUAUAUUGGUUUAUACUUCUCUUUGUUCUGAUUAAUGAAAGAGCAAAUCGCCUCCAGUGAUCUUUUAAUUAAGUUGUAUUAACGCUGUAUCCAGUAAUAUCACUUCCUCCAAUGAUCUUUUAAUUAAGUUGUAUUAACGCUGUAUCCAGUAAUAUCACUUCAAAGGGCACUUUGCUGGGGAAGCCUCUUACAAAAAUACUGCAACCAUAUUUGACAUUUGACUAAUAUUCCAAAGUUCAGGAACUGCAGCAUAUAUAUUCUAAAUAAAGCAAAGUGACUCAGGCCUUUCUUUCUUCA
This 1238-nucleotide long non-coding RNA is filed under the name Sus scrofa (pig). RNAcentral's name for it is "lncRNA (ENSSSCG00050040050.1)". The record is from RNAcentral. Lineage: Eukaryota; Metazoa; Chordata; Mammalia; Artiodactyla; Suidae.